Molecule: ribosomal RNA, 252 nt
Filed under: uncultured bacterium
Lineage: Bacteria
Description: partial 16S ribosomal RNA
Rfam family: Bacterial small subunit ribosomal RNA
Source: RNAcentral
UACGGAGGGUGCGAGCGUUAAUCGGAAUUACUGGGCGUAAAGCGCAUGCAGGUGGUUUGUUAAGUCAGAUGUGAAAGCCCGGGGCUCAACCUCGGAAUAGCAUUUGAAACUGGCAGACUAGAGUACUGUAGAGGGGGUAGAAUUUCAGGUGUAGCGGUGAAAUGCGUAGAGAUCUGAAGGAAUACCGGUGGCGAAGGCGGCCCCCUGGACAGAUACUGACACUCAGAUGCGAAAGCGUGGGGAGCAAACAGG